Molecule: small nuclear RNA, 107 nt
Organism: Suncus etruscus (white-toothed pygmy shrew)
Lineage: Eukaryota; Metazoa; Chordata; Mammalia; Eulipotyphla; Soricidae
Source: RefSeq, a predicted model, not a curated record
UUGCCCGUUUCAGCAGCACAUAUACUAAAAUUGGAAUGGUACAGAGAAGAUUAGCAUGGCCCUUGUGUAAGGAUGACAUGGAAAUUCAUAAAGCAUUUUAUAUUUUU